RNAcentral lists this ribosomal RNA (232 nucleotides) under uncultured bacterium. RNAcentral's name for it is "partial 16S ribosomal RNA". It matches the Rfam family "Bacterial small subunit ribosomal RNA", at positions 118 to 347 of the family's 1533-position model. The record is from RNAcentral.
UGAGCAAUCUGCCCUUCUCAUCGGAAUAAGCGCUGGAAACGACGUCUAAUGCCGAAUACGACCUCCUUUCGCAUGAUCGGAGGUGGAAAGCUCCGGCGGAGAAGGAUGAGCUCGCGGCCUAUCAGCUAGUUGGUGUGGGUAAUGGCCCACCAAGGCGACGACGGGUAGCCGGCCUGAGAGGGUGACCGGCCACACGUGGGACUGAGACACGGCCCAGACCUCCGUAGGGAGG